RNAcentral lists this ribosomal RNA (609 nucleotides) under Salmonella enterica. RNAcentral describes it as "partial 23S ribosomal RNA". It matches the Rfam family "Bacterial large subunit ribosomal RNA", at positions 711 to 1316 of the family's 2925-position model. Lineage: Bacteria; Pseudomonadati; Pseudomonadota; Gammaproteobacteria; Enterobacterales; Enterobacteriaceae. RNAcentral also lists the same sequence under 1 other name. The record is from RNAcentral.
AGACCCGAAACCCGGUGAUCUAGCCAUGGGCAGGUUGAAGGUUGGGUAACACUAACUGGAGGACCGAACCGACUAAUGUUGAAAAAUUAGCGGAUGACCUGUGGCUGGGGGUGAAAGGCCAAUCAAACCGGGAGAUAGCUGGUUCUCCCCGAAAGCUAUUUAGGUAGCGCCUCGUGAAUUCAUCUCCGGGGGUAGAGCACUGUUUCGGCUAGGGGGCCAUCCCGGCUUACCAACCCGAUGCAAACUGCGAAUACCGGAGAAUGUUAUCACGGGAGACACACGGCGGGUGCUAACGUCCGUCGUGAAGAGGGAAACAACCCAGACCGCCAGCUAAGGUCCCAAAGUCAUGGUUAAGUGGGAAACGAUGUGGGAAGGCCCAGACAGCCAGGAUGUUGGCUUAGAAGCAGCCAUCAUUUAAAGAAAGCGUAAUAGCUCACUGGUCGAGUCGGCCUGCGCGGAAGAUGUAACGGGGCUAAACCAUGCACCGAAGCUGCGGCAGCGACGCUGAUGCGUUGUUGGGUAGGGGAGCGUUCUGUAAGCCUGUGAAGGUGGCCUGUGAGGGUUGCUGGAGGUAUCAGAAGUGCGAAUGCUGACAUAAGUAACGAUAAA